AUCCUGGCUUAGGAUGAACGCUAGCUACAGGCUAACACAUGCAAGUCGAGGGGCAGCAUUGGAGUAGCAAUACUCAGAUGGCGACCGGCGCACGGGUGAGUAACACGUAUCCAACCUGCCGCUUAACUCGGGGGAUAGCCUUUCGAAAGAAAGAUUAAUACCCGAUGGUAUAAAGAGUUCGCAUGUUCUCUUUAUUAAAGAAUUUCGGUAAGCGAUGGGGAUGCGUUCCAUUAGAUAGUUGGCGGGGUAACGGCCCACCAAGUCUACGAUGGAUAGGGGUUCUGAGAGGAAGGUCCCCCCACAUUGGAACUGAGACACGGUCCAAACUCCUACGGGAGGCAGCAGUGAGGAAUAUUGGUCAGUGGACGAGAGUCUGAACCAGCCAAGUAGCGUGAAGGAUGACUGCCCUAUGGGUUGUAAACUUCUUUUAUAAGGGAAUAAAGUGAGGGACGUGUCCCUUUUUGUAUGUACCUUAUGAAUAAGGAUCGGCUAACUCCGUGCCAGCAGCAGC
RNAcentral lists this ribosomal RNA (511 nucleotides) under uncultured bacterium. RNAcentral describes it as "bacterial SSU rRNA". It matches the Rfam family "Bacterial small subunit ribosomal RNA", at positions 16 to 518 of the family's 1533-position model. The record is from RNAcentral.